Molecule: ribosomal RNA, 380 nt
Filed under: uncultured Acidobacteriota bacterium
Lineage: Bacteria; Pseudomonadati; Acidobacteriota
Description: bacterial SSU rRNA
Rfam family: Bacterial small subunit ribosomal RNA
Source: RNAcentral
UAAGACGGGGGGGGCGAGCGUUGUUCGGAAUUACUGGGCGUAAAGGGCGCGCAGGCGGCCUGGGAAGUUUUGGGUGAAAGCCCCCGGCUCAACCGGGGAAUGGCCUGAGAAACCACCGGGCUGGAGUGCUGGAGAGGGAAGCGGAAUUCCCGGUGGAGCGGUGAAAUGCGUAGAUAUCGGGAGGAACACCGGAGGCGAAGGCGGCUUCCUGGACAGACACUGACGCUGAGGCGCGAAAGCUAGGGGAGCAAACGGGAUUAGAUACCCCGGUAGUCCUAGCCGUAAACGAUGGGUACUAGGUGUGGGAGGUUAUUAAAAGUCCUUCCGUGUCGGCGAUAACUCAAUAAGUACCCCGCCUGGGGAGUACGGUCGCAAGGCUG